RNAcentral lists this transfer RNA (63 nucleotides) under uncultured Prevotella sp. It matches the Rfam family "tRNA", at positions 7 to 64 of the family's 71-position model. From Rfam's summary of the family: Transfer RNA (tRNA) molecules are approximately 80 nucleotides in length. The record is from RNAcentral. Lineage: Bacteria; Pseudomonadati; Bacteroidota; Bacteroidia; Bacteroidales; Prevotellaceae.
GGUUUAGCUCAGUCGGUAGAGCACUGGUCUCCAAAACCAGGUGUCGGGGGUUCGAGCCCUCCA